GAGUUUGAUCCUGGCUCAGAACGAACGCUGGCGGCAGGCCUAAUACAUGCAAGUCGAACGAUCUCGCAAGAGAUAGUGGCGCACGGGUGCGUAACACGUGGGAAUAUACCCUUGACUACGGAACAACGUCGGGAAACUGACGCUAAUACCGUAUAAUGACUCCGGUCCAAAGAUUUAUCGGUCAAGGAAUAGCCCGCGCUAGAUUAGGUAGUUGGUAGGGUAAUGGCCUACCAAGCCUACGAUCUAUAGCUGGUCUGAGAGGAUGAUCAGCCACACUGGAACUGAGACACGGUCCAGACUCCUACGGGAGGCAGCAGUAAGGAAUAUUGGACAAUGGGGGCAACCCUGAUCCAGCCAUGCCGCGUGAGUGACGAAGGCCUUCGGGUUGUAAAGCUCUUUCGGAUGUGAAGAUAAUGACAGUAGCAUAAGAAGAAGCUCCGGCUAAACUCGUGCCAGCAGCCGCGGUAAUACGAGUGGAGCGAGCGUUGUUCGGAAUCACUGGGCGUAAAGCGUGCGCAGGCGGUCACACAAGUCAGGAGUGAAAUCCCAGAGCUUAACUUUGGAAUUGCUCUUGAAACUGUGUGACUCGAGUCCCGGAGAGGUUGGCGGAAUUCUCAGUGUAGAGGUGAAAUUCGCAGAUAUUGAGAGGAACACCAGUGGCGUAAGCGGCCAACUGGACGGGUACUGACGCUCAGGCACGAAAGCGUGGGGAUCAAACAGGAUUAGAUACCCUGGUAGUCCACGCCUUAAACGAUGUGUGCUAGUUGUCGGGAACUUCGGUUCUCGGCGACGCAGCUAACGCAUUAAGCACACCGCCUGGGGAGUACGGUCGC
Molecule: ribosomal RNA, 833 nt
Filed under: uncultured Alphaproteobacteria bacterium
Lineage: Bacteria; Pseudomonadati; Pseudomonadota; Alphaproteobacteria
Description: bacterial SSU rRNA
Rfam family: Bacterial small subunit ribosomal RNA
Source: RNAcentral